GUCGGCCGAGGCUGGUUUCCUAUUUGGAGGCUCAACUAAGGAAAGGUGCUCCCAUGCUCACACCACUUGUUGGCAUAUUUUCUUGUAGCUGUCAGACUCACAGGAACUUGAUUCUUCAAAGCUAUCAAGAAGGGCAAGACUCUGGAGUAUAUCCGCUAGCAAGACAGGUCUUUCAUAAUGUGAUGUAAUUGUGGGAAUGAUACUCCUCUAACUUUGCCGUAGAACGUACUGCCAUGAUUAGAGUGGCAUCCUACCACUUUUGUCAUAUUCUAUUGGUGAGAGGCAAGUCGCAGAUCCUUACCACCUCCCUGAAGACCUUGAAGUUCCUCCUUCCAGGGAAGAUUACAUAAGGGCCUGAACAGCAAGAGCCAGGAUCGUGUGGACCACCUUAGAGUCUGUUCGUGAUGGUGAACAACUUUGAAAUCUCUCUCCUUGCACUGCUUUCCACUUGAAUAAUCAAGGGAACCAGGGACUUGGGAAAAUGUAAAAUAUGACACUCAUUCACCUAAAAAUAUUCCUCUCAUUUCAGCUGGAGAACCUCAUACAGCACCCCGAGAGGGAGGCCAGGCUCACCGACUCUGCCCUCCACACCCAUACAUAUGACGCAACUGAAGAAAAAUGUUCUCUACCUGGAGAGAAACACAGAGAGCAGCAUAGAAUGAACCACAUUCCUAAGUGGGAGAUGACUGCUCUCACCAGGGAAACCAGGGAUACCAGGGGCCCAUUGGAAGUUGCUUCUUGAAGCAGAUGGGCUUUGAGCCUUCUCUUGCUGUGUGGAUUGUAAUAUUUAACCUUUACCACCAGGAUGCCAGGUGCCAGGCUGGAACUCUCCAACACCAAGGGGAAGGGAGUCCUGCAAUCCCUCAUGGUGGGCAGGACACUUCCUGGGGCACCGUGUCGACAAACGCUUUUCUAAUAGCACAGAUGUGCGGCCGCUCAUGACCAUUGGCCAUUAGCCAAGUGGCAGCUCUAAUCGAAGGCCCCAAAGGCCGAGGGAAUGACAACAACAAAAAAAGAGCGCUUUAUGGGCUCCAAGAUUCCCAUGCCCCCACACAGAACAGAGAGGAGCAGCAGACUCUUUAGGAUCGUUAAGAGUCAUGCAGAUUUGUCAAGUCUUCGACCCUACAAAUGCAAGCGUGGAAGAGAUAUUCAAGGACAGCCCGCCCAUAAGUGCAGAGCCUGGAGCACAGAAGAUGCUAUGAAACCGUAAUGUAAGGGGGGGGAUAAAGAUAACGUGCAGAGCUUCCCAGCGGCCAAAGCUAAUGGGCAAGAGGAAGCAAAUGCGGUACACCAGCCUAUGACCAACAUAAUGCAAAGCGACAGAGGCAGAAGAAGCACUGGUGGGAAGCACUCAGGAAGCCAGUAUGUUCCUUGAGGUCCUAGGAGUCAUCAUUUGUGAUCAUCGCUAAGGAUAAUUAUAUGUUAAUUAAUGAAUAAUUAUGAUACCAUGGGAUAAAUGUUGCUGGUGGUUCAUACAGAAUGAGGAGUGAGUUAACUUGAUGGUGAGAGUGAGAAGAAACAGAGAAGGACAUACAAAAGAAGGGAAUCGCAUAUCGGACUCCGCAGCAGUGGAGAGGAAUAAAAGGCCAUGUGAGUUUGAAAAGCACAGGCACUCCAGCGUGACUGGGAGGAAGCACAUGAUUGAGGGGGCCACCCAGCUUUUGAAUGGCAACAGCCUAGGCAAACUGUGGCCCUCAGGCCAAAUCCGGCCCCUGGAAUGUUUUUGCAAAUAAAGUUUUAUUGGAA
This is a long non-coding RNA of Mustela erminea (ermine), 1746 nucleotides long. RefSeq lists it as uncharacterized. The transcript has 3 exons. The record is from RefSeq and is a predicted model, not a curated record. Lineage: Eukaryota; Metazoa; Chordata; Mammalia; Carnivora; Mustelidae.